UACGGAGGAUGCAAGCGUUAUCCGGAUUCAUUGGGUUUAAAGGGUGCGUAGGCGGACUUAUAAGUCAGUGGUGAAAUCCUGCAGCUUAACUGUAGCACUGCCAUUGAUACUGUUAGUCUUGAGUUUGGUUAAGGUAGGCGGAAUGUGUAAUGUAGCGGUGAAAUGCUUAGAUAUUACACAGAACACCAAUUGCGAAGGCAGCUUACUGGACCGAUACUGACGCUGAGGCACGAAAGCGUGGGGAGCGAACAGG
This 253-nucleotide ribosomal RNA is filed under the name uncultured bacterium. RNAcentral describes it as "partial 16S ribosomal RNA". It matches the Rfam family "Bacterial small subunit ribosomal RNA", at positions 524 to 776 of the family's 1533-position model. The record is from RNAcentral.